RNAcentral lists this ribosomal RNA (605 nucleotides) under Ganoderma australe. RNAcentral's name for it is "eukaryotic LSU rRNA". The stretch from base 238 to 391 matches the Rfam family "5.8S ribosomal RNA". The record is from RNAcentral. Lineage: Eukaryota; Fungi; Basidiomycota; Agaricomycetes; Polyporales; Polyporaceae.
CUUCCGUAGGGUGAACCUGCGGAAGGAUCAUUAUCGAGUUCUGACUGGGUUGUAGCUGGCCUUCCGAGGCAUGUGCACGCCCUGCUCAUCCACUCUACACCUGUGCACUUACUGUGGGUUUACGGGUCGUGAAACGGGCUCGUUCAUUCGGGCUUGUUGAGCGCACUUGUUUCCUGCGUUUAUCACAAACUCUAUAAAGUAUCAGAAUGUGUAUUGCGAUGUAACGCAUCUAUAUACAACUUUCAGCAACGGAUCUCUUGGCUCUCGCAUCGAUGAAGAACGCAGCGAAAUGCGAUAAGUAAUGUGAAUUGCAGAAUUCAGUGAAUCAUCGAAUCUUUGAACGCACCUUGCGCUCCUUGGUAUUCCGAGGAGCAUGCCUGUUUGAGUGUCAUGAAAUCUUCAAUCUACAAACUUCUUAUGGGGUUUGUAGGCUUGGACUUGGAGGCUUGUCGGUCCCUUUACAGGUCGGCUCCUCUUAAAUGCAUUAGCUUGGUUCCUUGCGGAUCGGCUUGUCGGUGUGAUAAUGUCUACGCCGCGACCGUGAAGCGUGUUUGGGCGAGCUUCUAACCGUCUCGUUACAGAGACAACUUUUAUGACCUCUGACC